This 508-nucleotide ribosomal RNA is filed under the name uncultured bacterium. Its description in RNAcentral is "bacterial SSU rRNA". It matches the Rfam family "Bacterial small subunit ribosomal RNA", at positions 17 to 518 of the family's 1533-position model. The record is from RNAcentral.
UUCUGGCUCAGGAUGAACGCUAGCGGCAGGCCUAACACAUGCAAGUCGAGGGGCAGCGGGGUGUAGCAAUACACCGCCGGCGACCGGCGCACGGGUGCGUAACGCGUAUGCAACCUGCCCGCGACAGGGGGAUAACGCUGUGAAAGCGGCACUAAUACCCCGUAACACCCGGGGCCGCAUGGCCUUGGGUUGAAAGGAGAGAUCCGGUCGCGGAUGGGCAUGCGUGACAUUAGCUAGUGGCGGGCAACGGCCCACCAAGGCUGCGAUGUCUAGGGGAGCUGAGAGGCUAAUCCCCCACACUGGUACUGAGACACGGACCAGACUCCUACGGGAGGCAGCAGUGAGGAAUAUUGGUCAAUGGUCGGAAGACUGAACCAGCCAUGCCCGCGUGGAGGAAGAAGGCCCUACGGGUCGUAAACUUCUUUUGCCCGGGAGUAAUAAGCGGGGUGCGCCCCGCGAUGAGAGUACCGGGCGAAUAAGCAUCGGCUAACUCCGUGCCAGCAGCAGC